Molecule: long non-coding RNA, 4372 nt
Organism: Canis lupus familiaris (dog)
Lineage: Eukaryota; Metazoa; Chordata; Mammalia; Carnivora; Canidae
Exons: 3
Source: RefSeq, a predicted model, not a curated record
GCAGAGCUGUCCCACAGCAUCAGAGGGCGGCGGAGUCCCAAGGCAUUUCGAGAUGGUAUUUUCGGCAGGGUUUGGGGUGGGGAAGUACUUGAAUAGCUGUUCUUCAGCUUUUAUAAUUACCAGGCCACUGAGAUCAAUGUCUGCACAAAUCCGAGCUUCCUAUAGGAUAAGCUGUGCAAUCUCAGGCACCCAGAGCUUCUCUCUUCCUAUCUGUAAACAGAGGAAAUACCUACCACUCAGGAUUGUGAGGAUUGGCAGUGACACAGCUACUCAGCACAGCACUUCCGAGGUGCUCAAUGAAAUGGCAACCGUUACCCAGAAAGGUAUCAUUGGGACACCACAGAAAAUCCUUCUAGAAUCACACAGGGCUGGGGUUUCUGUUUGUUUCACAACAGUCCAUCACUCUCUUCCUAUCAUCACAUCAACCAUGAAAAGGCGAAGCCUGUCUCCGCAGCCUCUGUACCCAGCACCAACCUCCAUCAGCAUCCGUCGAAAGCGUGCUGAAUAAAUGAAUAUAUACAGGAACCUAUCACUCAGACUAAUGACACAAUCCUCACACUCCUGUGUCGGCUGAAAUCCCAAACAUCACCUCUUCUGGGAAGGCUUCUCUAAUCACUGGCACCAGCACCAGGUUUCUUCUCCUGGAUUAAUCUUUCUGUAAGUUGCUAAUAUAACCCUUGUCGGGUUGUAGUAAAUCACAGGAAUCAUAAUGUUCCCUCACCACAUGCUUCCAGUUUGGGAGAUCCUGGAGCAAAGAGAACCUAGAUCUUAUUAUUUGUGUUCCCCAAACCUAGCAUGGCAUAGUGCACAACCCCUAGUAGCUACUCAAUAAAUAUUUGCUGGAUUCAAAUGAAUCAUUAAAUAUACAGAUACAGAUGUGAUAUGUGUUCUAUAUGCAGGCGUAAAUAUUACAUACAAAAGAUACUUACGUAUAUGUAAUAUGUUCUCAUCUUUCUCCUUCAGACAUGGCUCUGCUGACCAGCUUAAGAUACUUCUAGUUUCAAUCACUUUUCAUCCGAUAUUUUCCAGAUAGUUUUUGGCAAGUUCUUGCUGCUAUUAAUAGCUCACCUCUCAAGGGGUCAAUCAAAUGCAUGGAAAUUUUCUUUUGCCCUUGCUGUCUUGCCAAUUUGGAAAGCUCACAACUGAGGGCACUCGUUUUCCAGUGUUUGAAGAUCAAAAUGUAAAUUUUUCCUGCCCCCUUGUUAAAUAUUUAGUCACAGAUUAGUACUUCUAUCCAAGUGGCCAUUUUAAUUUAUUGCUCAUAAUAUAUAUGAUUUGGCGAGGAGGUUGGAUUUAGAAAAUCUAAGGCUUGUAGGUAGGGACAAGAGAAGAUCAAAAUAAUGAACUGAGAAAAAAAUGUAUUGUUCUGGGCCAUAAUCUACCAAUGAUAGGUAAAAGAAUGCAGCCUACUUGAGGGGAGUCCCCAGAGAUUCCCAUGGGCUGCAGUGGCAUUUGGUUUACCUCUGAGCUUUCUCCCUCUAUGAAGAAGAGACUACCCCACCAGGCAACUGUACCUGAAUUGGAAGUUUCAUCACCAACUCCAGUGAAAUCGUGAAGGUUGCUUCCCAUCUUUUCAGGUGCUCUUCUAAGUGUGUUGGGAGGAGAGGGAGCCUUUGGCAACAACUGGCUCAAUUCCCUUCCUCCUCCAAGCCUCUGUGGGUUCGUUUGAUCUCCAAAACAAAUUCUAGCUUCCCGUUUACCUAGCUAGUUAGCCUCCUUUUUCUUCCUCUGGAAAUUCCUGGCCACUAACUCUUCCAUUCAGGAACUCACAUGGGAAUGAGCCAUCCCCUGACCAAGGAAAGGUUUAGAAAGAACAAGUGAGGAACAAUGACACUAAAACAUUAAUUCACUGGAUCCUAAUUUGGAAUGUGUUUGAAGUUCACCAGGAGAUUUGAAAAUUCAGAUGCCCUGGUGUCAGCCCCUGAGAUCAUCAGAUGCUGAGUCUGUAGGGCAGCUCUGGAUGCUGCAUUUCUAACCAGCACCCUAUGAUUGUGACUUGGGUGGCCCACAAAACAGAUUUGAAGAAAUACUGAAAUAGAGUGACUUUAAAAAUGGGAGGGGGCCCAAGUUAAAUCAUACUCUAGUGCGUGGUCACAGUGCUGAUAGAAUUUAGUUUAAACCUUGAUGAAAAUUUUGUAAUAUUUAUUCCAUCCUCAGACACAUGUUGUAUUAGCCAAUACACAAAAUGGACCCGCAGUUGAUGUACGCUGUUUUAAAAUACUUGUUUAGGGGAAAGAUUUCAGUACUUUUCAUCCUGUGUAUACUGAAAAAGAUGAGUUUCACUGUGUCCACGAGCAUGACACUGGAACUUAUGCAAAUGUGUGUUUUGUGGUAUACAGUGUGGCACAGUAUUAUGGCACAUGCAGAAUUUAUGGUUUUCUCGUAGGGGGCUGCCCCCUACUGAAUAUACUAUCUCUCCUUCUAUUUAUUUAGAUGGCUAAAUCAUCCAUUAUUUUAUCUUUGACUCAGACUUCCAUUUAUACUAUGUAAGCAUGGUUGCCAGGGUAAUUUUUUUUAAUAAAAUUUUUGGCAGGAAGAAAUGAAUUAUAUACUAGCAAGUACAGACCAGAUAUUGCUUAUUAUUUUUACAAUUUAUAUAGAUGAUUCAAUAAUUCUGUCCAGUGCUGAAUUACCCUGUGUACUCAGGGCACCGGUAAAACCAGGCUACGGGAGAGAGAGAGGUUCAGCUUUGAUUAACAUAACCAGUACUGUGCAAUCAGCAUAUCGAAAGAGAAGCUAUUUUCGUUCUACAGAUGCAUGGAUUUUGCUUGCUAGUUGGCCAGUAUCUUUAUUUUUAAUUUACACAAGAGACAGGACAUAGGGAUCUUCUUGGGGCUUGGGACUUCAAUCCUAUUGGUUCGGUCGUAAACAUUUUCCUUCCAGAAGUUGGGAAGCUCGCGUCCUCCCCCAUUGGCUCUUCCAAUUCAGUCAAAUCAUCGUGCAUCUAAAUUGGUAGACUAUUUAGGUAAGAUAUUUUCUAGCUCGUCAUUUUGUGCACAACAGAUUCUCAUUCCGAACUCCUAUCUCCCCUGCUGAUUAUUCUCCUUGUUCAGUUCUGCUCUACUUACUUAUGAAAAGGCAUCAUUCUAAGUCAAUCAUAUGCUAUUUUUACACCUUCAUCAGAUACUUCCACUUCCAGAUAUCUUCAUUUAAUAAUCUCCAAAAAAGCAAUUAUAAAAAUAAACAUAUUACUAGUCUCUCUCUUCUGCUUUGUGGCUGUUGUUCUUAUUGCUGUUGUUCCCUUUUCCUAAUUUUAUGUCCCCUCCUUAUUAUCUCUUUUACCAACCUCAGCACCCGCCUUUACUGGGACAGCUAAAAUGGACACGGAAAUAAAAGCCGGGUAAUAAUGAUACCCAGCCUGCAAAAGCCACAGACCAGGGCUGUGUUCUGCGGCCAAUCCCAGUAACUCAGUGAAGUGUGGGGUUACCUCAGGCAAGCUUCUCUCAAAUGAGGAUAACAAUACCAGGCUCUACAGAUCUCAUUAGAAUCUCGAGUCCCCAGUGAAAUCAUAGAUGCAAAAAUACUUUGAAAAAAAGGUAAAGGUCUCCUCAAAUGAGAGAAGGUGAGAGUAACAGCUCUUUGAAUGGCAAUUUCAGGUUGUCACAGAAAAUACAUGACUAAGAUGAUUUACAUUUCAUCUCAGUGUACAGCAAGAAUCACCAAGGGCAGUAGAUAAGGCAGUCGAUAAAUCAUCAUUAACAACUUAUUUGCAUGAUGUAUGAAUUAGUGGGCCAAACAUAAGAAAUGCAUUUUGGAUCUCUGCGGUGUUCAGGAGUGAUGUACUGGUCGAUGAAAUCCACAGGAAGCAGAACCUUUGAAGAAAGGAUACAGUGGACUUGAAAAAGCCAGCCAUUGCCCAUUGGAAAAUAUACAAUCAGACCACCUGGAAAGAGAGAAGAAACAAAACAACACACGAUGAGAGCUCAGAAUUCCUGGAGCCCAAAGGAGAUUCCUUAGGAACCAACUUGCCCUACUUUGGAAAUCUGCCCAUCAUUUUAGAAAUGCUAAUUAUGCCUAUUUAAUGCCUGGUUUUCACAAUCAAGAUGACGUAUCUCAGGACACUGAGGAUAGAGAGCCUGACUUCAAGGACUGAGGGCGUCCAUGGUUCCCUUGCCAUUGAAGGGUGCACACAUAUCUCUGCCUCGUGCCAGAGUAGAGGAAAUAUUCUCCAAAGAAGGCAGCAGACCAAUAAAUUAAUUCCUUAUGAUAAAUUCCAAAUGCUCCUUAAAGAAUGAUGUUUUUCUUAUUAAAGUCUUUUGAGACAUGUACCAUCAGUCAGAAUGUCAUGGGGCUUAUCAAUAUUGUAUCUCCAGCAUGAAUUUGUAAGAAAGUGUUUUUAGAGAUCAAAAAAGUUCACAGAAAAUGCAGUAAU